RNAcentral lists this unclassified non-coding RNA (156 nucleotides) under uncultured Sordariales. RNAcentral describes it as "sequence contains ITS2". Lineage: Eukaryota; Fungi; Ascomycota; Sordariomycetes; Sordariales. The record is from RNAcentral.
CAACCCUCAAGCCCCGCUUGGUGUUGGGGUCCUACGGCUGCCGUAGGCCCUGAAAGUUAGUGGCGGGCUCGCUAUAACUCCGAGCGUAGUAGUAACAUAUCUCGCUAGGGAGGUGUCGCGGGUUCCGGCCGUGAAAGCCCCAUCUUUUUUACACAA